UACGUAGGGGGCUAGCGUUGUCCGGAAUCAUUGGGCGUAAAGCGCGUGUAGGCGGUCCGGUAAGUCCGCUGUGAAAGUCCAGGGCUCAACCCUGGAAUGCCGGUGGAAACUGUCAAGCUUGAGUCCGGAAGAGGCGAGUGGAAUUCCUGGUGUAGCGGUGAAAUGCGCAGAUAUCAGGAGGAACACCAAUGGCGAAGGCAGCUCGCUGGGACGGUACUGACGCUGAGACGCGAAAGCGUGGGGAGCAAACAGG
RNAcentral lists this ribosomal RNA (253 nucleotides) under uncultured bacterium. Its description in RNAcentral is "partial 16S ribosomal RNA". It matches the Rfam family "Bacterial small subunit ribosomal RNA", at positions 524 to 776 of the family's 1533-position model. The record is from RNAcentral.